Molecule: ribosomal RNA, 1143 nt
Filed under: Triticum aestivum (bread wheat)
Lineage: Eukaryota; Viridiplantae; Streptophyta; Magnoliopsida; Poales; Poaceae
Description: partial small subunit ribosomal RNA
Source: RNAcentral
CAAGUGUACCCCUGCUCAAAUGGUGGGAUCUGCAAAAACAGGCCCGGAGGCUACGACUGUCCAUGCAAAUUCGGAAUGAAAGGCGACGGCAAAGCCGGAACCUGCACACAUGUAUUUACUCCAGCAGCAAAAGCGACUGUGGGUGCAAUAGGUGGUAUUCUUCUUAUGGUGAUUCUAUCGUUUCUUCUUAUUCUCCACAAAGAGAAAAAGAAGGGGCAAGAAUUCUUCAAAAAGAACGGCGGCCCUACAUUAGAGAAGGCAAAUGUCAUCAAACUUUUCAAAAAGGAGGAACUCAAACCAAUUUUGGAGAGUAGCAACUUGAUAGGUAAAGGUGGCUUUGGUGAAGUUUACAAGGGCCAUCUUGACAAUAAAGAAGUUGCAAUAAAGAAGCCGAUCAGUGGCAGUGUGCUAGAGAAUGAACAAUUUGCAAAUGAAGUCAUCAUCCAAUCUCAAGUCAUCCACAAGAACAUUGUUAGGCUCAUUGGUUGUUGCCUUGAAUUUGAUGCCCCCAUGCUGGUCUACGAGUUUAUCACCCAAGGUAGCCUCCAUGACAAUCUUCACAGCAACAAGAACAAUGUAGCUCUCAACUUGGAUGCGCGUUUAAGUAUUGCUGCACAGUCAGCGGAUGGUCUAGCUUAUAUGCACUCAAAAGCAAAUAUUAGAAUUCUACACGGUGAUGUCAAACCAGCAAAUAUACUCUUGGAUGAUAACCUUGUACCCAAGAUUUCAGACUUCGACAUAUCUAGGUUGAUUGCGAGAGACAAGCAACACACUGGAUCAGUCAUCGGAGACAUGAAUUAUAUGGAUCCAGUAUAUAUACAGGAAGGCCUCCUCACCGAGAGAAGUGAUGUCUAUAGUUUCGGAGUUGUAAUCCUGGAGCUUAUCAGCAGUAGGAUGGCCAUACUUUCCGAGAAUAAUAGCUUGGUAAAGAGCUUUCUUGAAGCCCAUAAGAAAAAGAAGAAGGCCACCGAGUUUUUUGACAAGGAAAUCAAUAGCAGAGAUUUGGAGCUUCUUGACAGUCUUGCGGUUAUGGCGGUGGAAUGCCUUAGCCUGGAUGUAGAUCAAAGACCAACGAUGAUGGAGGUAGCUGAGCGGCUACACAUACUGAGUCGAUCCGGUAAGGUGCAAGAUGUUUGUCACUAA